AGCUGUGAUAGCGUGCCAAGCACUGCAUUAGGGACUAGGGGUGGGGAUGAUGAAGGCAGGGGCUGCUCCUGUAGCUGAGAUCUGGGGUUGACCUUCGGAGUCAGUGUGAGGAGGUCAGAGUACUGAGUGUCCUCCAAGCCUCACUUUUCCCCCUGCGGUCCGGCAGAGAAUGGUGGCGUCACCCUAGAGCGAGGAUUUGCAGGAUUCCUCUGCUUGCUCUUCACAGUCCCUGAAGGAUUUUGUUAGUUCUCCAUUACUUUUGUUACCUGAGACCCAUCUUUUCAUCCUGUUCCUCCUCUUCCUUGACGACCUGGGAUGUUUCCACACUGAGACAAAGAGGAAGAGACACAUCUAAGCAAUUCUCUACAGAUAGUCUCACUCAUCUCUGUCCUGAGUUCUCCUUGUGACAAGUCCAAAAGCUUGGCCACAGUCCUGAGGCAAAAAGUUUCAUGGAAACUGGUCUCUUGGAGUCUUUGGCAUCCCAUAACAUGGAUGUGGUCCAGAUAUGUCCUUGCAAUAGUCGUGAAGGGUUUAGUGUGCUUUCUUUCAAUAUUGUUUUUAUUAUAAGUGCCUCCAAGGAAUGAUUUGACAAAUAGCUAAGUUAGAUUGAACAUUGCUUCCUGGCCUCUACCAGUGUUCCAAUAUCCUAGGAAAUUGUUGAGCUGACCUUGGGCUUUGAAUUUCGUAAGAAUGUUACUUAUUCAGACAAAAUGCCUCCAGUGUUGAAAGAGAGAUAGUGAAAGAAAUCAGGCAUUGCAGUUUACUGGUUAAGAGUAGAAAUCUCAGAACAAGUUCUACAAAAUAAACUUGGAAUUCUCACUACAGUCAGGUAUGGCAGACUACAUUACAUAUUAAAAGAAAGUUGGUGGGCUCCUCUGUUAAAUGGAGGUUCCCUAUGGAUACUUAGAAUAACAACCAAGUCACACCCAUAUGCAGGAAUUUACAAUGGUCUAGGAAAAAGGAGGGUUGUGGUUUAAGAAGGAACUAGAGUAAAUACUUAGAAUAACAGCCAAGUCACUUCCAUAUACAGAAAUUUACAAUGGCCUAGGGAGAAGGUGGAUUAUACGAUAGACUAGAAUUGGAACUAUAGCUAGGGCGUGAAACCCUUGCCCCUGGCUUCUAAGAAUAAGCUGACCUUAGGUAGGUAUGAUUUUUAUCUCAGUUGUAAACACUGCCUGGUUCUUGCUAGCUUUUAUGUAUACAUUCCUCUGUUUUGUGUCAUUAUGCAUCAGAUGACUUCAAUGUAUCUUGGCUGAUGUGUCACCUGACUUCCUUGUUUUCUUCUGUAAUAUAAGUCUAAUGCUUGCUUUGAGACAUUACAUUCAGAUUCAACACUC
This 1337-nucleotide long non-coding RNA is filed under the name Mus musculus (house mouse). RNAcentral describes it as "Hectd2, opposite strand". Lineage: Eukaryota; Metazoa; Chordata; Mammalia; Rodentia; Muridae. The record is from RNAcentral.